Molecule: ribosomal RNA, 495 nt
Filed under: uncultured bacterium
Lineage: Bacteria
Description: partial 16S ribosomal RNA
Rfam family: Bacterial small subunit ribosomal RNA
Source: RNAcentral
GACGAACGCUGGCGGCGUGCCUAAUACAUGCAAGUAGAACGCUGAAGGAGGAGCUUGCUCUUCUGGAUGAGUUGCGAACGGGUGAGUAACGCGUAGGUAACCUGCCUGGUAGCGGGGGAUAACUAUUGGAAACGAUAGCUAAUACCGCAUAACAGUAGAUGUUGCAUGACAUUUACUUAAAAGGUGCAAUUGCAUCACUACCAGAUGGACCUGCGUUGUAUUAGCUAGUUGGUGGGGUAACGGCUCACCAGGGCGACGAUACAUAGCCGACCUGAGAGGGUGAUCGGCCACACUGGGACUGAGACACGGCCCAGACUCCUACGGGAGGCAGCAGUAGGGAAUCUUCGGCAAUGGACGGAAGUCUGACCGAGCAACGCCGCGUGAGUGAGGAAGGUUUUCGGAUCGUAAAGCUCUGUUGUAAGAGAAGAACGAGUGUGAGAGUGGAAAGUUCACACUGUGACGGUAUCUUACCAGAAAGGGACGGCUAACUACGUG